This 497-nucleotide ribosomal RNA is filed under the name uncultured bacterium. Its description in RNAcentral is "partial 16S ribosomal RNA". It matches the Rfam family "Bacterial small subunit ribosomal RNA", at positions 28 to 507 of the family's 1533-position model. The record is from RNAcentral.
GAUGAACGCUGGCGGCAUGCCUAAUACAUGCAAGUCGGGCGAACGGACGAGAAGCUUGCUUCUCUGAUGUUAGCGGCGGACGGGUGAGUAACACGUGGAUAACCUACCUAUAAGACUGGGAUAACUUCGGGAAACCGGAGCUAAUACCGGAUAAUAUUUUGAACCGCAUGGUUCAAAAGUGAAAGACGGUCUUGCUGUCACUUAUAGAUGGAUCCGCGCUGCAUUAGCUAGUUGGUAAGGUAACGGCUUACCAAGGCAACGAUGCAUAGCCGACCUGAGAGGGUGAUCGGCCACACUGGAACUGAGACACGGUCCAGACUCCUACGGGAGGCAGCAGUAGGGAAUCUUCCGCAAUGGGCGAAAGCCUGACGGAGCAACGCCGCGUGAGUGAUGAAGGUCUUCGGAUCGUAAAACUCUGUUAUUAGGGAAGAACAUAUGUGUAAGUAACUGUGCACAUCUUGACGGUACCUAAUCAGAAAGCCACGGCUAACUACGUG